GGGCGAGUGGCGGAACGGUAGACGCGCUGGCCUUAGGAGCCAGUGAGCGCAAGCUCGUAGGGGUUCAAGUCCUCUCUCGCCCACCA
RNAcentral lists this transfer RNA (86 nucleotides) under Candidatus Berkelbacteria bacterium. RNAcentral describes it as "tRNA-Leu". It matches the Rfam family "tRNA". From Rfam's summary of the family: Transfer RNA (tRNA) molecules are approximately 80 nucleotides in length. Their secondary structure includes four short double-helical elements and three loops (D, anti-codon, and T loops). The record is from RNAcentral. Lineage: Bacteria; Candidatus Berkelbacteria.